GACGAACGCUGGCGGCGCGCCUAACACAUGCAAGUCGAACGAGCGAGAGAGAGCUUGCUUUCUCGAGCGAGUGGCGAACGGGUGAGUAACGCGUGAGGAACCUGCCUCAAAGAGGGGGACAACAGUUGGAAACGACUGCUAAUACCGCAUAAGCCCACGGCUCGGCAUCGAGCAGGGGAAAAAGGAGCAAUCCGCUUUGAGAUGGCCUCGCGUCCGAUUAGCUAGUUGGUGGGGUAACGGCCCACCAAGGCGACGAUCGGUAGCCGGACUGAGAGGUUGAACGGCCACAUUGGGACUGAGACACGGCCCAGACUCCUACGGGAGGCAGCAGUGGGGAAUAUUGCACAAUGGGGGAAACCCUGAUGCAGCGACGCCGCGUGGAGGAAGAAGGUCUUCGGAUUGUAAACUCCUGUUGUUGGGGAAGAUAAUGACGGUACCCAACAAGGAAGUGACGGCUAACUACGUG
RNAcentral lists this ribosomal RNA (466 nucleotides) under uncultured bacterium. RNAcentral's name for it is "partial 16S ribosomal RNA". It matches the Rfam family "Bacterial small subunit ribosomal RNA", at positions 28 to 507 of the family's 1533-position model. The record is from RNAcentral.